UGAAAAUAAUGGCAGAAUUUCGGAGAGAAGGUGGGAAAAUAAAUUCUCUUCUCCAUGCAUAGUUGCAUUGCAUGCACUACUACUCGUCUUUAUUUCUCGUUUUGAUUACUCAAGAACCUUCAAUCUUCUGCUUCAUACAACAAACAUUCAAUUUUGUAAAUAAAAAUUUGAAUCACUGCGAGAUGGAACUUUUUUCAUAAUCUGAACCCCCAAAUCAGACGGUAGGAAUCAAUGGAUGAUUAUACCUUGUAUGCAAUUUUAAUGUGAAUUCUUAUUCUAAUAGUAUCUUUUGUGCUUUGAUGACCCUACUCCCUAAAUGCUAUUUUGCAUAUGCCUUUGCUGGAUUAGCUUACUGAUAAGGGUUUCUGGAUAGAAACUAGUGGCAACAAUAACAGAUUUUGGGAACUUUAUCAAGUAGAGAAUCCCAGGUAUCAAGGUUGAUUUGUUUUGGAAUAAUGCAUGUAUUUGCAAUUGUGUGCUAGCAUAUCCUCAAGAACUUUGAACAUGCUGCCAAAUUUAUUUGCAGUAGGAUUUCGAAUGCUGUAAACAAUUCAGUUGUUGUCCAUUGUCAAAUUAACCAUUAAUAACUUGGUCGGGAUUUAAAGGUGAUUGCUUUGUUAUAAUGACUGUACUGAUGUGUUUUUUUUAUGCAAUAACACUUUCUGCCAAUUAUCUCAAGCGCCGGCAAAUUCAUGAUGCUGUUAUACAACUGCAGUUCUGUAAUUAGUUGGAACAAGAGUACCUCUAUGACUUAUGUGAUGUAUUUGGGAGAUUGGUGCUUAAUGCAGUUUAUUUUGGUUGCCUGAAACUUAUUCAGCCUGUAAGCUAUAGUUGGUUAGCAACUAACUAAAGGCUAAUUGAGUUUAGCUAUGUUUCAUCCUUUAAUAUUUUCCCACAGUUUGUGCUGAAGUCUAGAUCUUAUGCUUAUUCACUAAAUAAUAGACAUCAUUAGUUAUUCAAUAGAAAACACAACAUUGGAUGCUUUUGAGUCAAAAGUUACUUAUUUUAAAGCAUUGAUCAUGAAGAGUUAAAGGUUUCUGUGAAUGAUCAACAUGUUAUCGAGAUUACAUGUUUUGGUUUUGUGUAUCAACGAUUUUUUAUGUCCUAUAAGUAUUAACAAUUUAUAUAUGCCUGCAAAAA
This is a long non-coding RNA of Medicago truncatula (barrel medic), 1140 nucleotides long. RefSeq lists it as uncharacterized. The transcript has 2 exons. NCBI's taxonomy places the organism in Eukaryota, Viridiplantae, Streptophyta, Magnoliopsida, Fabales, Fabaceae. The record is from RefSeq and is a predicted model, not a curated record.